UAACGUGUGGGCAACCUGCCCUGCACUGGGGAAUAAUCAUUGGAAACGAUGACUAAUACCGCAUACGGUUCCUGGGAGGCAUCUUCCGGGAAAGAAAGGAUUUAUUCGGUGCAGGAUGGGCCCGCAUCUGAUUAGCUAGUUGGUGAGAUAACAGCCCACCAAGGCGACGAUCAGUAGCCGACCUGAGAGGGUGACCGGCCACAUUGGGACUGAGACACGGCCCAAACUCCUACGGGAGGCAGCAGUGGGGAAUAUUGCACAAUGGGCGAAAGCCUGAUGCAGCAACGCCGCGUGAAGGAAGAAGGGUUUCGGCUCGUAAACUUCUAUCAACAGGGACGAAAGAAAUGACGGUACCUGAAUAAGAAGCCCCGGCUAACUACGUGCCAGCAGCCGCGGUAAUACGUAGGGGGCAAGCGUUAUCCGGAAUUACUGGGUGUAAAGGGUGAGUAGGCGGCAUGGUAAGCCAGAUGUGAAAGCCUUGGGCUUAACCCGAGGAUUGCAUUUGGAACUAUCAAGCUAGAGUACAGGAGAGGAAAGCGGAAUUCCUAGUGUAGCGGUGAAAUGCGUAGAUAUUAGGAAGAACACCAGUGGCGAAGGCGGCUUUCUGGACUGAAACUGACGCUGAGGCACGAAAGCGUGGGGAGCGAACAGGAUUAGAUACCCUGGUAGUCCACGCCGUAAACGAUGAGUGCUAGGUGU
Molecule: ribosomal RNA, 699 nt
Filed under: uncultured bacterium
Lineage: Bacteria
Description: bacterial SSU rRNA
Rfam family: Bacterial small subunit ribosomal RNA
Source: RNAcentral